Molecule: transfer RNA, 94 nt
Rfam family: tRNA
About the family: Transfer RNA (tRNA) molecules are approximately 80 nucleotides in length. Their secondary structure includes four short double-helical elements and three loops (D, anti-codon, and T loops).
Source: Rfam
GACACUAUGGCCGAGUGGUUAAGGCGGGAGACUCGAAUCUUUCAGAGGUAUCUCUUGGGCUCUGCCCGCGCAGGUUCAAAUCCUGCUGGUGUCG